This 246-nucleotide ribosomal RNA is filed under the name uncultured bacterium. RNAcentral describes it as "partial 16S ribosomal RNA". It matches the Rfam family "Bacterial small subunit ribosomal RNA", at positions 527 to 772 of the family's 1533-position model. The record is from RNAcentral.
GUAGGUGGCAAGCGUUGUCCGGAUUUAUUGGGCGUAAAGCGAGCGCAGGCGGUUUCUUAAGUCUGAUGUGAAAGCCCCCGGCUCAACCGGGGAGGGUCAUUGGAAACUGGGAGACUUGAGUGCAGAAGAGGAGAGUGGAAUUCCAUGUGUAGCGGUGAAAUGCGUAGAUAUAUGGAGGAACACCAGUGGCGAAGGCGGCUCUCUGGUCUGUAACUGACGCUGAGGCUCGAAAGCGUGGGGAGCAAA